GCUUCAGUAGCUCAGUGGUAGAGCGCCGUCUUGACAUGGCGGAGGUCGAAGGUUCGAACCCUUCCUGAAGCA
Molecule: transfer RNA, 72 nt
Filed under: Bertelyvirus sp.
Lineage: Duplodnaviria; Heunggongvirae; Uroviricota; Caudoviricetes; Jeanschmidtviridae
Also listed under: 5 other names
Description: tRNA-Val
Rfam family: tRNA
About the family: Transfer RNA (tRNA) molecules are approximately 80 nucleotides in length.
Source: RNAcentral